This is a non-coding RNA of Mariannaea sp. PMI_226, 112 nucleotides long. Lineage: Eukaryota; Fungi; Ascomycota; Sordariomycetes; Hypocreales; Nectriaceae. The record is from the annotation of a GenBank genome assembly.
GGCAAGAUGGCCGAGCGGUUAAGGCGGUAGUUUCAAGCGCUAGCUUACUCACUAAAAGCGAGACAGAUCACUACUGGAGCAAUCCUCCUGGGUUCGAGUCCCAGUCUUGUCA